UUGUGAGGUUAAGCGACUAAGCGUACACGGUGGAUGCCCUGGCAGUCAGAGGCGAUGAAGGACGUGCUAAUCUGCGAUAAGCGUCGGUGAGGUGAUAUGAACCGUUAUAACCGGCGAUUUCCGAAUGGGGAAACCCAGUGUGUUUCGACACACUAUCAUUAACUGAAUCCAUAGGUUAAUGAGGCGAACCGGGGGAACUGAAACAUCUAAGUACCCCGAGGAAAAGAAAUCAACCGAGAUUCCCCCAGUAGCGGCGAGCGAACGGGGAGGAGCCCAGAGCCUGAAUCAGUGUGUGUGUUAGUGGAAGCGUCUGGAAAGGCGCGCGAUACAGGGUGACAGCCCCGUACACAAAAAUGCACACAUUGUGAGCUCGAUGAGUAGGGCGGGACACGUGGUAUCCUGUCUGAAUAUGGGGGGACCAUCCUCCAAGGCUAAAUACUCCUGACUGACCGAUAGUGAACCAGUACCGUGAGGGAAAGGCGAAAAGAACCCCGGCGAGGGGAGUGAAAAAGAACCUGAAACCGUGUACGUACAAGCAGUGGGAGCCUCUUAAUGGGGUGACUGCGUACCUUUUGUAUAAUGGGUCAGCGACUUAUAUUCUGUAGCAAGGUUAACCGAAUAGGGGAGCCGAAGGG
This 635-nucleotide ribosomal RNA is filed under the name Escherichia coli. Its description in RNAcentral is "partial 23S ribosomal RNA". It matches the Rfam family "Bacterial large subunit ribosomal RNA", at positions 1 to 673 of the family's 2925-position model. The record is from RNAcentral. Lineage: Bacteria; Pseudomonadati; Pseudomonadota; Gammaproteobacteria; Enterobacterales; Enterobacteriaceae.